Asparagus officinalis (garden asparagus) is the source of this 952-nucleotide long non-coding RNA. RefSeq lists it as uncharacterized. The record is from RefSeq and is a predicted model, not a curated record. NCBI's taxonomy places the organism in Eukaryota, Viridiplantae, Streptophyta, Magnoliopsida, Asparagales, Asparagaceae. The transcript is spliced from 4 exons.
AGAGAACCGGUUCCCCCCUUCUCCCCUUUCCUCAUAACCUCCUCCUCUCUUCCCCCAAAGUCUUCCCCAAACUUUGAGAAUCCUUCCUCUACUGAAACUCUCCCCCAAACCUCCAUAAAGAAGAUCUCCAAACCUCUCCUCUCUAUCUCCUUGAUCUUGGCCGAACCCAAGGCUAGGGUUUGUUUUUUUGGGUUCAUCUCUUUGGGUUGGAAUUCCUUCUUCAAGCUUGGAACUUGGAUUACAGACUAGCCAUGUCGCCGAAGAGAUCACGUAUUUCAAGAAGCCGGUCUACCACUCAGUCUCGUGAGGUUGAACCUUCUUUAUUUGAAGCUUUUCAAGAAGGUUUACCUGUUCUAGAGGCUUGACAAUGUUUUUGAAAAAGGUCGAGAGAAAGGAGGAAUUUGUGAGAAUGUUUUUGGGUGGAGAGCUAAGACGAGGAGACUUUUGAUGAUUUUCUAUACCGGUGAUAAGUACUGAGAAAAGUUCAUAGUUGCAUUCUUCUAUCUUUUAUUUUCGUGAUUGUUAUUUAGGUUGUGUCUGUGGAGAAAACUCAGAAAAAGCAAUUUUGGUGUCAUAAGUCGACUCAUGCAUAGGCAUAAGUCGACUUGUGUCUGUGCAUGAGUCGACUUACGUUCUUCUCUGGAGUUGUUGGUUUCGCGCUCUGUCAAGUCGACUUAUCAGGCCUGAUAAAUCGACUUACGAUCUGUUCUCUAGUUCCUGGUUUCAUACUCUACCAAGUCGACUUAUCAAGCCUGAUAACUCGACUUACGACGGAUAUUUUGCACAUGUUAGUUUCCUGUUUGGAUUCUGUUUGGUUUCUGUUUUGAUAUAAAUAGGAACACGUUUUUCUAGGGUAGAGAGAGCGUUUUAAGCAAAGAAUUAGCAGUCUUUUGACAAGUGUGAGAGGGAGAUAUUAUGAGCAAGUUGAGAGAUUUGGUUGAGGGUUUAUUUG